Molecule: long non-coding RNA, 395 nt
Organism: Homo sapiens (human)
Lineage: Eukaryota; Metazoa; Chordata; Mammalia; Primates; Hominidae
Exons: 4
Source: RefSeq, a predicted model, not a curated record
ACAGCUGUGUUUGUUCAUCAGGGGCAUGAAGAAUGAAAGUAACUGUUUUCAUGAGGAAUCUUCAAAGGAGAGAAGCAGGCAACGUGGCUCCCAGGAAAAUGGCUUGAACAGAACCCAUGAGAGGAAGGCUGUCAGUUCAUGGAAGGGUUAUUCAUGAAUGCUUGUAGUAAAUCAGGUAUACCAGAAACCCUGGCCACAGAAAAAGCAGAGCCACACUGAGAGCUGACAGUGGCAAUGGGGACCCCACAAGGACAACUGUACUGCUGAUUACAGAACAACCAGUCCAGAUGGAGCAGGAGGACCCACAGAUAAUUUAUCAUUGAGGUCUGGCAGCCAAGAUGGCCGAAUAGGAACAGCUCUGGUCUACAGCUCCCAGCGUGAGCGACGCAGAAGAC